UACGUAGGGGGCGAGCGUUACCCGGAAUCACUGGGCGUAAAGGGAGCGUAGGUGGCCUGACAUGUCGACUGUGAAAACCCGGAGCUCAACUCCGGACUUGCAGUUGAAACUGCCAGGCUUGAGGACGGUAGAGGAAGACGGAACUGCCAGUGUAGGGGUAAAAUCCUUAGAUAUUGGCAGGAACACCGGUGGCGAAAGCGGCUUUCUGGCGCAUAACUGACGCUGAGGCUCGAAAGCGUGGGGAGCGAACGGGAUUAGAUACCCGGGUAGUCCCUGAGCGGG
RNAcentral lists this ribosomal RNA (282 nucleotides) under uncultured prokaryote. RNAcentral describes it as "partial 16S ribosomal RNA". It matches the Rfam family "Bacterial small subunit ribosomal RNA", at positions 524 to 803 of the family's 1533-position model. The record is from RNAcentral.